RNAcentral lists this transfer RNA (95 nucleotides) under Moritella sp. JT01. RNAcentral's name for it is "tRNA-Gly". It matches the Rfam family "tRNA". Rfam says of the family: Transfer RNA (tRNA) molecules are approximately 80 nucleotides in length. Lineage: Bacteria; Pseudomonadati; Pseudomonadota; Gammaproteobacteria; Alteromonadales; Moritellaceae. The record is from RNAcentral. RNAcentral also lists the same sequence under 1 other name.
GCGGUACUAGCUCAGUUGGUAGAGCGCAACCUUGCCNNUAGAGCGCAACCUUGCCAAGGUUGAGGUCAAGAGUUCGAGCCUCUUGUACCGCUCCA